UGGGGAAUAUUGCACAAUGGGCGCAAGCCUGAUGCAGCCAUGCCGCGUGUAUGAAGAAGGCCUUCGGGUUGUAAAGUACUUUCAGACGGGAGGAAGGUGGUAAGGUUAAUAACCUUGGCAAUUGACGUUACCGACAGAAGAAGCACCGGCUAACUCCGUGCCAGCAGCCGCGGUAAUACGGCGGGUGCAAGCGUUAAUCGGAAUUACUGGGCGUAAAGCGCACGCAGGCGGUUUGUUAAGUCAGAUGUGAAAUCCCCGGGCUCAACCUGGGAACUGCAUCUGAGACUGGCAAGCUUGAGUCUCGUAGAGGGGGGUAGAAUUCCAGGUGUAGCGGUGAAAUGCGUAGAGAUCUGGAGGAAUACCGGUGGCGAAGGCGGCCCCCUGGACGAAGACUGACGCUCAGGUGCGAAAGCGUGGGGAGCAAACAGG
RNAcentral lists this ribosomal RNA (429 nucleotides) under Chloroflexota bacterium. Its description in RNAcentral is "Chloroflexi bacterium partial 16S ribosomal RNA". It matches the Rfam family "Bacterial small subunit ribosomal RNA", at positions 355 to 776 of the family's 1533-position model. Lineage: Bacteria; Bacillati; Chloroflexota. The record is from RNAcentral.